GGGGAGUUAGCUCAUUUGGUAGAGCGCAGCGAUCGCACCGCUGAGGCGAGGGGUUCGAUUCCCCUACUCUCCA
RNAcentral lists this transfer RNA (73 nucleotides) under Pantanalinema rosaneae CENA516. Its description in RNAcentral is "tRNA-Ala". It matches the Rfam family "tRNA". Rfam says of the family: Transfer RNA (tRNA) molecules are approximately 80 nucleotides in length. Their secondary structure includes four short double-helical elements and three loops (D, anti-codon, and T loops). RNAcentral also lists the same sequence under 1 other name. The record is from RNAcentral. Lineage: Bacteria; Bacillati; Cyanobacteriota; Cyanophyceae; Leptolyngbyales; Leptolyngbyaceae.